Molecule: long non-coding RNA, 476 nt
Organism: Esox lucius (northern pike)
Lineage: Eukaryota; Metazoa; Chordata; Actinopteri; Esociformes; Esocidae
Source: Ensembl
GUUGAUUGACACACAGUUUUUUGACCUCAUCUGCAACUGAGAGCAGCUGCAGUCAAGAGGACAUCGCAUAUCUGUGGAUUAUAUGUGCACGUCUUUGCUCUUGGGUCAGAAACCGUCUACCAGUGCAAGGAAAAACACUGGUUCUGCUCUACAAACGUCAAGUAGAGGAGUUUUUGUUUAAAUGGCGCCCAACGUGAAGAGGAACACUUCUUUGAUGGAAAAAAAGGCACAGGAUCUUUAGCAUUGCGCCUCAACAACAUGUCCAGGAAUACAUAUCAAUGGCCAGUCAAGGCAGCCACAGUGCCUCAAGCACAAGGACCAAACCGCCGAAGAUCAGCAGCCACAGCAGCUUGAUGGAGAUGCUUGCAGGGAGGCUAUAUAAUUUCUUGUUCACUCUCCUCAUGCAGAAAGUGUGUUUCAGAAGAUGAAGAUGACCUUGCAACAUUGUCAGGACCUAGUGGGACAGAGUACAGGGC